RNAcentral lists this ribosomal RNA (485 nucleotides) under uncultured bacterium. Its description in RNAcentral is "partial 16S ribosomal RNA". It matches the Rfam family "Bacterial small subunit ribosomal RNA", at positions 29 to 507 of the family's 1533-position model. The record is from RNAcentral.
UUGAACGCUGGCGGCAUGCUUUACACAUUCAAGUCGAGCGGCAGCGCGGGGGCAACCCUGGCGGCGAGCGGCGAACGGGUGAGUAAUGCAUCGGAACGUAUCCUCGAGUGGGGGAUAACCCAGCGAAAGUUGGGCUAAUACCGCAUGAGCUCUGAGGAGGAAAGCGGGGGACCUGCGAGGGCCUCGCGCUGGAGGAGCGGCCGAUGUCCGAUUAGCUAGUUGGUGGGGUAAAGGCUUACCAAGGCGACGAUCGGUAGCUGGUCUGAGAGGAUGAUCAGCCACAUGGGAACUGAGACACGGCCCAGACUCCUACGGGAGGCAGCAGUGGGGAAUUUUGGACAAUGGGGGCAACCCUGAUCCAGCCAUGCCGCGUGAGUGAAGAAGGCCUUCGGGUUGUAAAGCUCGUGCGGACGGAACGAAAUGGGCGGGACUAAUACUCCUGUCUGAUGACGGUACCGUAAGAAGAAGCACCGGCUAACUACGUG